CUCAUACUCCCUUCGUCCGGAAAUACUUGUCAUCAAAAUGAAUAAAAGGGAAUGUAUCUAUACGUAUUUUAGUUUUAGAUAAAUCACUUCUUGUCCAUUUUGAUGACAUGUAUUUCCGAAUGGAGGGAGUAUAAA
Molecule: non-coding RNA, 135 nt
Organism: Triticum aestivum (bread wheat)
Lineage: Eukaryota; Viridiplantae; Streptophyta; Magnoliopsida; Poales; Poaceae
Source: Rfam